RNAcentral lists this ribosomal RNA (454 nucleotides) under uncultured Rikenellaceae bacterium. RNAcentral's name for it is "partial 16S ribosomal RNA". It matches the Rfam family "Bacterial small subunit ribosomal RNA", at positions 341 to 792 of the family's 1533-position model. The record is from RNAcentral. Lineage: Bacteria; Pseudomonadati; Bacteroidota; Bacteroidia; Bacteroidales; Rikenellaceae.
ACGGAAGGCAGCAGUGAGGAAUAUUGGUCAAUGGACGCAAGUCUGAACCAGCCAUGCCGCGUGCAGGAAUAAGGCCCUAUGGGUCGUAAACUGCUUUUGUGGUGGAGCAAUAAGUCGUACGUGUACGGCGAUGAGAGUACAUCACGAAUAAGCAUCGGCUAACUCCGUGCCAGCAGCCGCGGUAAUACGGAGGAUGCAAGCGUUAUCCGGAUUUAUUGGGUUUAAAGGGUGCGUAGGCUGUGGUCCAAGUCAGGGGUGAAAGCCCGGAGCUCAACUCCGGAACUGCCUUUGAUACUGGAUUGCUGGAAUACGGAUGCCGUGGGAGGAAUGAGUAGUGUAGCGGUGAGAUGCAUAGAUAUUACUCAGAACACCGAUUGCGAAGGCAUCUCACGAAUCCGUCAUUGACGCUGAGGCACGAAAGCGUGGGGAUCAAACAGGAUUAGAUACCCUGGUA